AUGGCAGAAUGCUUCAAUAAGGUGCUCAAGGGUGUACGUGCAUUACCUGUGACGGCAAUAGUUCAAUACACAUUUGACAAGAUGAAUGGAUACUUUUUGAAGUAUUCAAUGGAGACGGAUAAGCAGAUUGCUGGUGAGAACAAGGAUAAGCACAAGUACUAUUUCCCACCAAAGGUUGAAGAAUGGUUGGACUUUCAAUCACGAAAGGCAGACUCCCAAGAAGCUGUACUAUAUGACGACAACGAGUGGAAGUCUGAGGUGAAAGAGCCUGGAGGAACCAGAAAUGAUGGCCACCAACACGGAGGCCGCGCUUUCAAUGUCUCCCUAACACGGUGUGAUUGCAGCUGCAUGAGGCCAUCGUUGCUUCAUCUCCCAUGCUCGCACUUGUUAAAUGCAACCCAUGUUAGGAAUGUGGACGUCAAUCACCCUCUUACCGUGAGGGAGUCCGAGUUCUCAAUCAUGACGGUAAAGAAUACAUGGGCUCCCCGGUUUCAGCCAUACUUGGACCAAUCACAAUGGCCGGAGUAUCAUGGAGUUCAACUAUGGCCGGACCCG
This 555-nucleotide ribosomal RNA is filed under the name Triticum aestivum (bread wheat). RNAcentral's name for it is "partial small subunit ribosomal RNA". The record is from RNAcentral. Lineage: Eukaryota; Viridiplantae; Streptophyta; Magnoliopsida; Poales; Poaceae.